GCUUCCUUGGCUCAGUUGGUAGAGCGUUGGUCUCAUAAUCCAAAGGUCGCCAGUUCGAGCCUGGCAGGGAGCA
RNAcentral lists this transfer RNA (73 nucleotides) under Sphaerobolus stellatus SS14. Its description in RNAcentral is "tRNA-Met (CAT) (tRNA-Met-CAT-3-1)". It matches the Rfam family "tRNA". Rfam says of the family: Transfer RNA (tRNA) molecules are approximately 80 nucleotides in length. Their secondary structure includes four short double-helical elements and three loops (D, anti-codon, and T loops). Further hydrogen bonds mediate the characteristic L-shaped molecular structure. tRNAs have two regions of fundamental functional importance: the anti-codon, which is responsible for specific mRNA codon recognition, and the 3' end, to which the tRNAs corresponding amino acid is attached (by aminoacyl-tRNA synthetases). tRNAs cope with the degeneracy of the genetic code in two manners: having more than one tRNA (with a specific anti-codon) for a particular amino acid; and 'wobble' base-pairing, i.e. permitting non-standard base-pairing at the 3rd anti-codon position. RNAcentral also lists the same sequence under 1 other name. Lineage: Eukaryota; Fungi; Basidiomycota; Agaricomycetes; Geastrales; Sphaerobolaceae. The record is from RNAcentral.